Molecule: transfer RNA, 72 nt
Filed under: Camelus bactrianus (Bactrian camel)
Lineage: Eukaryota; Metazoa; Chordata; Mammalia; Artiodactyla; Camelidae
Also listed under: 1 other name
Rfam family: tRNA
About the family: Transfer RNA (tRNA) molecules are approximately 80 nucleotides in length. Their secondary structure includes four short double-helical elements and three loops (D, anti-codon, and T loops).
Source: Rfam by way of RNAcentral
GAGGGUACAGCACAGUGGUAGAGUGAGUGCUCAGCAUGCACGAAGUCCUGGGUUCAAUCCCCAGUACCUCCA